ACAUGUCACUAUUCAAGAAAUUAUAGAUAUGAUUAAUAUUCUUGAUCCAAAUAAAGCCUCGGGACCAGAUGUGAUUAGCCACAGGAUGCUCAAGAUUUGUCCAGAUAAAGUUGCAAUACCUCUUCAAAUUAUAUUCAACAAGUCCCUUAGUCAAUGUAUAUAUCCAACCAGCUGGAAAAUUGCAAAUGUAAUAGCUAUUUUCAAAAAGGGGGACUCUUCUUUGCCAUCUAAUUACAGACCAAUAUCUUUAAUUAGCUGCGUGGGGAAAGUUAUGGAAC
RNAcentral lists this long non-coding RNA (278 nucleotides) under Mytilus galloprovincialis (Mediterranean mussel). Lineage: Eukaryota; Metazoa; Mollusca; Bivalvia; Mytilida; Mytilidae. The record is from RNAcentral.